Molecule: small RNA, 189 nt
Filed under: Albidovulum denitrificans
Lineage: Bacteria; Pseudomonadati; Pseudomonadota; Alphaproteobacteria; Rhodobacterales; Paracoccaceae
Description: Defluviimonas denitrificans caulobacter sRNA CC2171
Source: RNAcentral
AACGCAGAGAAAGGAGGUGAUCCAGUGUCUAGAGUGAUAUUGGAGAGAGGUGUCGGGACAGUCAGGGGGGCCGUGGCCUAAGGGCAGACCCAUGGGUUAAGAACCCUGACUGGGCCUUGUCGAUCUUCGACACCCUAACUGGCCCAUCUCCGUAGAUCUCGAAGGGCUGCUCCCACCCGGAGCAGCCCU